GCGGGAGGCCUAACACAUGCAAGCUGAGCGGUAGAGAUCUUUCGGCAUCUUGAGAGCGGCGUACGGGUGCGGAACACGUGUGCAACCUGCCUUUAUCAGGGGGAUAGCCUUUCGAAAGGAAGAUUAAUACUCCAUAAUAUAAUUUACGGCAUCGUGAAUUAUUGAAAACUCCGGUGGAUAGAGAUGGGCACGCGCAAGAUUAGAUAGUUGGUGAGGUAACGGCUCACCAAGUCGAUGAUCUUUAGGGGGCCUGAGAGGGUGAUCCCCCACACUGGUACUGAGACACGGACCAGACUCCUACGGGAGGCAGCAGUGAGGAAUAUUGGACAAUGGGUUAGCGCCUGAUCCAGCCAUCCCGCGUGAAGGACGACGGCCCUAUGGGUUGUAAACUUCUUUUGUACAGGGAUAAACCUAUCUACGUGUAGAUAGCUGAAGGUACUGUACGAAUAAGCACCGGCUAACUCCGUGCCAGCAGCCGCGGUAAUACGG
Molecule: ribosomal RNA, 489 nt
Filed under: marine sediment bacterium ISA-7203
Lineage: Bacteria
Description: bacterial SSU rRNA
Rfam family: Bacterial small subunit ribosomal RNA
Source: RNAcentral